RNAcentral lists this ribosomal RNA (337 nucleotides) under uncultured bacterium. RNAcentral describes it as "bacterial SSU rRNA". It matches the Rfam family "Bacterial small subunit ribosomal RNA", at positions 8 to 334 of the family's 1533-position model. The record is from RNAcentral.
AGGGUUUGAUUAUGGCUCAGGAUGAACGCUAGCUACAGGCUUAACACAUGCAAGUCGAGGGGAAACGAUAUUGGAAGCUUGCUUCCGAUAGGCGUCGACCGGCGCACGGGUGAGUAACGCGUAUCCAACCUGCCCAUCACUUGGGAAUAACCUUGCGAAAGUAAGACUAAUGCCCAAUGACAUUUAUAGAAGGCAUCUGAAAUGAAUUAAAGAUUUAUCGGUGAUGGAUGGGGAUGCGUCUGAUUAGCUUGUUGGCGGGGUAACGGCCCACCAAGGCGACGAUCAGUAGGGGUUCUGAGAGGAAGGUCCCCCACAUUGGAACUGAGACACGGUCCAA